Molecule: RNA transcript, 2861 nt
Organism: Nycticebus coucang (slow loris)
Lineage: Eukaryota; Metazoa; Chordata; Mammalia; Primates; Lorisidae
Gene name: cleavage and polyadenylation specificity factor subunit 2-like
Exons: 1
Source: RefSeq, a predicted model, not a curated record
AUAGAGCACUCUUCUGAACUCAGAGUGUUUCAUCAUAUAUACAACUAAGUUAUCAAAUCUUUUGGUUUGUUAUUACUGGACCAAAAAAAUGACAUCUAUUAUCAAAUUGAAUACCCUGUCUGGGGUCCAAGAAGAAUCUGCUCUUUGCUAUCUUCUCCAAGUUGAUGAGUUUAGAUUUUUAUUGGACUGUGGCUGGGAUGAGCACUUUUCUAUGGAUAUUAUAGAUUCCCUGAGAAAGCAUGUUCACCAGAUCGAUGCAGUACUAUUGUCUCAUCCCGACCCUCUCCAUCUUGGUGCUCUCCCAUACGCUGUCGGAAAGCGGGGUCUGAACUGUGCUAUCUAUGCAACCAUUCCUGUUUGUAAAAUGGGACAGAUGUUUAUGUAUGAUGUUUAUGUAUGAUCCAGUCUCGACACAAUACAGAAGACUUUACACUGUUUACAUUAGAUGAUGUGGAUGCAGCAUUUAAUAAAAUGCAGCAGCUAAAAUUCUCUCAAAUUGUCAAUUUGAAAGGUAAAGGACAUGGCUUGUCUAUCACACCUCUGCCAGCUGGUCAUAUGAUAGGUGGAACAAUAUGGAAAAUAGUCAAAGAUGGAGAGGAAGAAAUUGUUUAUGCAGUUGACUUCAACCACAAGAGGGAGAUCCAUUUAAAUGGAUGUUCACUGGAAAUGUUAAGCAGACGCUCCUUACUUAUCACAGAUUCAUUUAAUGCUAAAUAUGUGCAGCCUAGAAGAAAACAGAGAGAUGAGCAGCUUCUGACAAAUGUCCUAGAAACACUUCGAGGUGAUGGAAAUGUAUUAAUAGCAAUGGACACAGCAGGCAGAGUUUCGGAACUUGCUCAACUUCUUGAUCAGAUUUGGAGAACUAAAGAUGCAGGACUGGGUGUUUACUCAUUGGCACUUUUAAAUAAUGUCAGCUAUAACGUGGUGGAGUUUUCUAAGUCCCAGGUAGAAUGAAUGAGUGAUAAAUUGAUGAGAUGUUUUGAAGACAAAAGAAAUCCAUUUCAGUUUCGCCAUCUCCCUUUAUUUCAUGGUCUUUCUGACUUGGCUCGAGUACCUAGCCCCAAAGGUGUACUUGCAAGCCAACCUGACCUAGAAUGUGGAUUUUCAAGGGAUCUCUUUAUUCAGUGGUGUCAGGACCCUAAGAACUCAAUUAUUCUAACUUAUAGAACUACUCCUGGGACUUUAGCAUGUUUCCUAAUUGAUAAUCCUUCUGAAAAAAAUUACAGAAAUAGAGUUGAGGAAGCAUGUGAAACUUGAAGGGAAAGAACUUGAGGGAUACUUGGAAAAAGAAAAACUAAAGAAAGAAGCUGCUAAAAAACUCAAGCAGUCAAAAGAGGCAGAUAUAGAUUCUAGUGAUGAGAGCGACAUUGAGGAAGAUAUUGACCAGCCGUCAGCUCAUAAGACAAAACAUGACCUGAUGAUGAAAGGCGAAGGGAGUCGUAAAGGAAGUUUCUUCAAACAGGCAAAAAAGUCUUACCCUAUGUUUCCUGCCCCAGAAGAAAGAAUUAAAUGGGAUGAAUAUGGAGAGAUUAUCAAACCAGAGGAUUUCUUAGUGCCAGAACUUCAAGCUACUGAAGAAGAAAAAAACAAAUUAGAAUCUGGUUUGACAAAUGGAGAUGAACCUAUGGAUCAGGAUUUAUCUGAUGUUCCUACUAAGUGUAUUUCCACUACAGAGUCUAUUGAAAUAAAAGCAAGGGUUACUUACAUAGACUAUGAAGGAUGCUCUGAUGGAGAUUCCAUUAAAAAAAAUCAUUAAUCAGAUGAAACCACGACAGUUGAUUAUUGUCCAUGGCCCACCAGAGGCCAGUCAAGAUCUGGCUGAGUGCUGCCGUGCUUUGGGUGGGAAAGCUAUUAAAGUGUACAUGCCAAAGCUACAUGAAACAGUUGAUGCCACUAGUGAAACACACAUCUACCAGGUGAGAUUAAAAGACUCACUGGUCAGCUCCCUUCAGUUUUGUAAAGCAAAAGAUGCUGAAUUAGCUUGGAUAGAUGGCGUCUUAGACAUGAGAGUUUCCAAAGUGGACACAGGAGUUAUUUUAGAAGAAGGAGAACUGAAGGAUGAUGGAGAAGACUCAGAAACACAAGUAGAUGCUCCUUCAGAUUCUAGCGUUAUAGCACAACAGAAGGCCCUGAAAAGUCUGUUUGGAGAGGAUGAGAAAGAAACAGGUGAAGAAAGUGAGAUCAUUCCUACUUUGGAGCCUUUGCCACCUCGUGAAGUUCCUGGACAUCAGUCAGUUUUUAUGAAUGAACCAAGACUAUCAGACUUCAAGCAAGUUCGUUUAAGGGAGGGUAUUCAAGCUGAAUUUGUAGGAGGUGCUCUUGUUUGCAACAAUCAAGUAGCAGUCCGUAGAACGGAAACUGGUCUCAUCGGAUUAGAAGACUGCCUUUGUCAAGAUUUUUAUAGGAUAAGAGACCUUUUAUAUGAACAAUAUGCCAUUGUGUAAAGGACAUGAUGUCAAGAAGUAUGUGCUUGACCUUUCUAAGAAAAAAGGAUUCUUAUGCUAAGCUUUUGCUAUUUUGCCAGAAAAACUUAACAUGUAUUAGAUUUUUAAAAAUGUAAAUAGAGAACAUUUUGCUAAUGCUUAAAUGAGCAUUCUGUCUUUUGGCUUUCAGAGUGAUAGAGCUCCUAGCAAGUGUAUAGGCCCAAGAAUUGAAGGUGAUUGGUUUCCUUUACAAACCCCUUAUUCUAGAAGGGCUUUCUACUUGAAUAAAACAAUGCAAACCAGUUUAUGGCCUUAAGAGAAAUAUGUUUGCAUGAGCUCUUGCAAACUGUUUCUUGUAUUUUCUGGAAUGAAAACUGAGAAUUAUUUAGAAAAGUCAUGCCACAAAAAAACUAAACAAAACUGAUAAAACAGUUUUUU